This 266-nucleotide ribosomal RNA is filed under the name uncultured Staphylococcus sp. RNAcentral describes it as "partial 16S ribosomal RNA". It matches the Rfam family "Bacterial small subunit ribosomal RNA", at positions 96 to 355 of the family's 1533-position model. The record is from RNAcentral. Lineage: Bacteria; Bacillati; Bacillota; Bacilli; Caryophanales; Staphylococcaceae.
CGGCGGACGGGUGAGUAACACGUGGAUAACCUACCUAUAAGACUGGGAUAACUUCGGGAAACCGGAGCUAAUACCGGAUAAUAUAUUUAACCGCAUGGUUCAAUAGUGAAAGACGGUUUUGCUGUCACUUAUAGAUGGAUCCGCGCUGCAUUAGCUAGUUGGUAAGGUAACGGCUUACCAAGGCAACGAUGCGUAGCCGACCUUAGAGGGUGAUCGGCCACACUGGAACUGAGACACGGUCCAGACUCCUACGGGAGGCAGCAGCC